RNAcentral lists this long non-coding RNA (801 nucleotides) under Gouania willdenowi (blunt-snouted clingfish). RNAcentral's name for it is "lncRNA (ENSGWIG00000019754.1)". The record is from RNAcentral. Lineage: Eukaryota; Metazoa; Chordata; Actinopteri; Blenniiformes; Gobiesocidae.
CUCCCAAAAAAAAAAAAAAAAAAAAAAACACACACAAGACUCGAGCUGACAGCGAGGCCACUCUGAAAGCAAAGGACUCUCCGUUCUCACACACUAUAUAAACACCAUGGGAAAAGGUGGGAGCGAUGACUGGGCAAAGAAUCACCCUGAUACGACGCAAAACCAGCCUCCGUCAUACUCUGAAGCGACCCAAAGCCAGCCUCCACCCUACGCAGAGACAGAGAGAGGAGCCAAAAAAAGCUCCAAGACCAAGUGUCCCACAUGCUGCAUCAAGUUCAAGAACUGCCUGAUGAGCCCGGAGUGCGGAAGGUGUCUUCAGAUCUCUCAAGUCAUCGCCUUCUGUGGAUCAUGUAUUCGCAUGUGGAUGUAACCAUGGACUGGACUGGGAUCAACUUUAAUCAACUUCUCUAACGCAAGCCACACUCUGCACUUCACUUUUUUUUUUAGUUAGUGACAUUUGAAAGGUCUUUACAAUCGAUAAAUCAAUCACUGAUGUACAUGAAUAUUACCUGUGGAAGAAAACAUGAAGAAAAAAACAUGUAGAUAUAUUUAUGGCAGUAUUUUUUUUUAAGGCCAAAUUUAGGCUUUAUUUAAUGUUUACAUUCUAUUAUGUCUUUCUUAUAAUUUUUUUGUGGACAACUGUUUUUUAUUGAUUUUUCCUUAAUUGUAUUGUAUAUAUAUAUAAUCAAAAUAAUCAUAUUUUUUUAAAUGUAUCUUGCAAUAGUUAAUUGUUAUUGUGUUUAUUAGAUAGUACAACUCGUUGUUUAAUGAGAAAUAAAUGCAAUAUAAUAAAAACGUACA